This is a long non-coding RNA of Solanum dulcamara, 806 nucleotides long. RefSeq lists it as uncharacterized. NCBI's taxonomy places the organism in Eukaryota, Viridiplantae, Streptophyta, Magnoliopsida, Solanales, Solanaceae. The record is from RefSeq and is a predicted model, not a curated record. The transcript is spliced from 2 exons.
GUUGUUAAAAGUGUGGAUUGUUGAUGUUGAUUAUGAAGUUGAAAGAAGAAAAUGAAUUAUAAUAGUUUUGUUGCAUUUAUGGAAUUUUUGGGUGAAAUAUGGAAUUGAUGAAUAUUGGAUAGUUUACUUGGAAUAUUUUUCACUUAUGUUGGAAUGAGUUGAAAUUAAUUAGAACACGAAAUAUUCAUAUUUAUUUGGAAAUGCAAAGUUGGGUUGAAAGUUGUUGCACUAUUUGGAAAAGAAACCAAUUUAUGUUAUGAUGCAUUUUAAAUUGAUUGUUGAUGGUAUUGGUGUUGUUGUUGGCAUACUUGUUGAUAUUGUGGCCGAGUUGAAAUCUCGGGGUUGUCAUAUAUAUAGGGGAGAUGCUGUCGAAAUUUUUGUAGGCAAGUAUUGGUUAAGAUUGGAUUCUUAAAGUUUUAUGAAUAGUAAUUGGUAAAUGUGAUCAAUUGUAGAUUUUGGAGGAAACGGGAAUUGAAUUUGGACAACCGUAAAAGGUCGAUAAGGUACCGAAGUUCAAUUUGCUGAUCCACCUGUUUAGGAUAUUUGCUGCGUCGUUGACAGUGAUCCUUUGUUCGGAGCUUGUAUUUUGGUACUGACUUUAUCUCUGUAUAUUUAGAUAUGUUGGUCAGGGGUACGACGGGGCCCUGUCCCGUCAUAUUACUAUGCUAUCAUCUGUAGAGGUCUGUAGACAGAGUUAUGUUGUGGGUUUUGUAUAUAUGUUUUGGGUUGUGUGUGUUUCGUGACGGCCUAUCAGCCCUCGUGCCUACAUCUAUUUUUGUGAUCUAUUUAGCAAUCUUUUCUAAUCA